CCAAAAAUCUAGCCUAAUUAAAAUAUUCUAGCAGUCUAGUAAAGAAGAUUGAAAACCUUUUAAGAGCUAUAGGUUGUACCGCAAGGGAGUGAUGAAAUAAAAAUGAAAUAAAUCUUAAGCACAAAAAAGUAAAGAUUCUCUCUUGUACCUUUUGCAUCAUGGUUUAGCUAGUCUAAUUAGGCAAAAAGACCUUAAGUCUAACACCCCGAAACUAAGUGAGCUAAAUUAGGGCUGCUUAUUGAGCUAACCCGUCUAUGUUGCAAAAUAGUGGGGUGACCCUAAAAUAGAGGUGAUAAACCUAACGAACUUAGUAAUAGCUGGUUUCUCAAGAAAAGAAUUUUAGUUCAACCUAAAGUAGUCCUUUAGAGUAAUUCAAAUGAGGUACAGCCCGUUUGAUAUAGGAUACAACCUUAACUAUUGGGUAAUAACCAAUUUAUACCUUCAAGUUGGCUUAAGAGCAGCCAUCUUUUAAAAAGCGUCAAAGCUUAGAAUUUUAAACUUUACAUUGACCCCUUUAAUCAUAUUGAGAACUUCUAUAAUCUUAUAGAACUUUUUAUGCUAAAACUAGUAACAAGAGGAAAAUCCUCUCUCUAAUGCAAAUAAAAGCCAGCAAGAACCCACCACUGGCAGUUAACAAAAAGUAGUAACACUUCAAGAAAAAUCUACUCCUACCCUGUCAACCUUACCCUAGAGCAUUUCAAGAAAGAUUAAAAGAAAAAGAAGGAAUUCGGCAAAUAUUAAUCCCGCCUGUUUACCAAAAACAUCGCCUCUUGAUAAGAGGUCCAGCCUGCCCAGUGACCCUGUUCAACGGCCGCAGUAUUCUAACUGUGCGAAGGUAGCGUAAUCACUUGUUUUCUAAAUAAAGACCAGUAUGAAAGGCAUCACGAGGAUUAAGCUGUCUCCUCUUUCCAAUCAGUGAACCUAAUCUCCCCGUGAAGAAGCGGGGAUUAAAAUAUAAGACGAGAAGACCCUGUGGAGCUUAAAACAUCACACCCAGAUAUCUCACCCCUGAUUAUACGUUUUUGGUUGGGGUGACCGCGGAGAAAAACUAAUCCUCCACAAUGAAACCCUAAACAAUAAGUUACAACUUUAUGCAUCAAAAAACUGACAUCAUCGACCCAAUAAAUUGAUCAAUGAACCAAGUUACCCCAGGGAUAACAGCACAAUCCGCUUUGAGAGCUCCUAUCGACAAGCGGGCUUAUGACCUCGAUGUUGGAUCGGGGUAUCCUAGUGGUGCAGCCGCUACUAAGGGUUCGUUUGUUCAACGAUUAAAACCCCACGUGAUCUGAGUUCAGACCGGAGUAAUCCAGGUCAGUUUCUAUCUAUACAGCGCUAAUUUCAGUACGAAAGGACCAAAAUAGCAUGGCCAAUGCCAUCGCAAGCCAUAGUUAAUCAUUCAAGAUUCUCAAAAAAUAAUUAACCU
RNAcentral lists this ribosomal RNA (1423 nucleotides) under Pristimantis gryllus (Andean cricket frog). RNAcentral's name for it is "16S ribosomal RNA". It matches the Rfam family "Bacterial large subunit ribosomal RNA". The record is from RNAcentral. Lineage: Eukaryota; Metazoa; Chordata; Amphibia; Anura; Strabomantidae.